Molecule: transfer RNA, 361 nt
Filed under: uncultured Microcystis sp.
Lineage: Bacteria; Bacillati; Cyanobacteriota; Cyanophyceae; Chroococcales; Microcystaceae
Description: partial 16S-23S ribosomal RNA intergenic spacer
Rfam family: tRNA (bases 136-209)
Source: RNAcentral
AAAGGGAGACCUAAUUCGGGUAUGGGAUGAAAAAAAAGUAGUCCCAACCAAGAAUCAAUCCCAAAAGGUCGGAGCGAGGCGAAAUUGGCUUUCAAACUAGGUUCUGGGUUCACAGAAGACCUGAAUCAGGAACAAGGGCUAUUAGCUCAGGUGGUUAGAGCGCACCCCUGAUAAGGGUGAGGUCCCUGGUUCGAGUCCAGGAUGGCCCACCUGCACAGGUGGUAAAAACAAGAGAAGCGAGGAAUCAGCACCUUAUCUUACUCAUAUAGUAAGAGAGAAUGCUGGCUCUGAGUAAAGAGUCCAGAGGAACCUUGAAAACUGCAUAGAGCUAGGUGAAAAAGCCAAAAAAGAAGACCGCAAG